GGCUAGUCUGAAAGUAGUGAGUUAUCUCUGUUCUCAGUCAGUUACAGAUCGAACUCUUUGUUCUACUCUUUACCCCCUUCUCACUACUGCACUUGACUAGUCGUAA
This is a Y RNA of Callithrix jacchus (white-tufted-ear marmoset), 106 nucleotides long. It matches the Rfam family "Y RNA". From Rfam's summary of the family: Y RNAs are components of the Ro ribonucleoprotein particle (Ro RNP), in association with Ro60 and La proteins. The Y RNAs and Ro60 and La proteins are well conserved, but the function of the Ro RNP is not known. The record is from Ensembl. NCBI's taxonomy places the organism in Eukaryota, Metazoa, Chordata, Mammalia, Primates, Cebidae.